RNAcentral lists this ribosomal RNA (490 nucleotides) under uncultured bacterium. RNAcentral describes it as "partial 16S ribosomal RNA". It matches the Rfam family "Bacterial small subunit ribosomal RNA", at positions 30 to 507 of the family's 1533-position model. The record is from RNAcentral.
AUUGAACGCUGGCGGCAGGCCUAACACAUGCAAGUCGAACGGUAACAGGAAGCAGCUUGCUGCUUCGCUGACGAGUGGCGGACGGGUGAGUAAUGUCUGGGAAACUGCCUGAUGGAGGGGGAUAACUACUGGAAACGGUAGCUAAUACCGCAUAACGUCGCAAGACCAAAGAGGGGGACCUUAGGGCCUCUUGCCAUCGGAUGUGCCCAGAUGGGAUUAGCUAGUAGGUGGGGUAACGGCUCACCUAGGCGACGAUCCCUAGCUGGUCUGAGAGGAUGACCAGCCACACUGGAACUGAGACACGGUCCAGACUCCUACGGGAGGCAGCAGUGGGGAAUAUUGCACAAUGGGCGCGAGCCUGAUGCAGCCAUGCCGCGUGUAUGAAGAAGGCCUUCGGGUUGUAAAGUACUUUCAGCGGGGAGGAAGGGAGUAAAGUUAAUACCUUUGCUCAUUGACGUUACCCGCAGAAGAAGCACCGGCUAACUCCGUG